UAUAACCCUUAUUUUUCAAAUGAGGAAAUGAAACAGAAAGACAUGAAAGGCAUCACUCUACAGAAGCCAAGGAUCUCUUCUCAACUGCAAACUCACUGAUGCUGAGACGGUCACUUCUCUUGUUAAGCCUCCAACUUUCCCUCAUCAUUAUGGGAGGGAGUUGGAAUUAGAUUAGUUCUCUCAACCCAGUUCUAACAUUCUGUGCAUCUGUGAGCCUAAAAAGCCUUCUGUAGAAUUCUGAUGCAGACCGUGAAAACUCACUGCAAGUGUUCCAGGGUCUUACCCGUAUUUGGCCAUCCUGUGUUUUCC
RNAcentral lists this long non-coding RNA (309 nucleotides) under Homo sapiens (human). RNAcentral describes it as "HSALNT0353036". The record is from RNAcentral. Lineage: Eukaryota; Metazoa; Chordata; Mammalia; Primates; Hominidae.